This 503-nucleotide ribosomal RNA is filed under the name uncultured bacterium. RNAcentral describes it as "bacterial SSU rRNA". It matches the Rfam family "Bacterial small subunit ribosomal RNA", at positions 25 to 518 of the family's 1533-position model. The record is from RNAcentral.
CAGGAUGAACGCUAGCUACAGGCUUAACACAUGCAAGUCGAGGGGCAGCAUUGGAGUAGCAAUACUUCAGAUGGCGACCGGCGCACGGGUGAGUAACACGUAUCCAACCUGCCGCUUACUCGGGGAUAGCCUUUCAAAAGAAAGAUUAAUACCCGAUGGUAUAAAGAGUUCGCAUGUUCUCUUUAUUAAAGAAUUUCGGUAAGCGAUGGGGAUGCGUUCCAUUAGAUAGUUGGCGGGGUAACGGCCCACCAAGUCUACGAUGGAUAGGGGUUCUGAGAGGAAGGUCCCCCACAUUGGAACUGAGACACGGUCCAAACUCCUACGGGAGGCAGCAGUGAGGAAUAUUGGUCAAUGGACGAGAGUCUGAACCAGCCAAAAGUAGCGUGAAGGAUGACUGCCCUAUGGGUUGUAAACUUCUUUUAUAAGGGAAUAAAGUGAGGGACGUGUCCCUUUUUGUAUGUACCUUAUGAAUAAGGAUCGGCUAACUCCGUGCCAGCCGCCGC